UACGGGAGGCAGCAGUGAGGAAUAUUGGUCAAUGGGCGGAAGCCUGAACCAGCCAUACCGCGUGCAGGAAGGCGGCCUUAUGGGUUGUAAACUGCUUUUAUAUUGGGAUAAAGGGCUUGUCGAGGACAAGCAAUUGAAGGUACAGUAUGAAUAAGUAUCGGCUAACUCCGUGCCAGCAGCCGCGGUAAU
Molecule: ribosomal RNA, 189 nt
Filed under: uncultured rumen bacterium
Lineage: Bacteria
Description: partial 16S ribosomal RNA
Rfam family: Bacterial small subunit ribosomal RNA
Source: RNAcentral